This 253-nucleotide ribosomal RNA is filed under the name uncultured bacterium. RNAcentral's name for it is "partial 16S ribosomal RNA". It matches the Rfam family "Bacterial small subunit ribosomal RNA", at positions 524 to 776 of the family's 1533-position model. The record is from RNAcentral.
UACGUAGGGGGCUAGCGUUGUCCGGAAUUAUUGGGCGUAAAGAGCUCGUAGGCGGCUUGUCACGUCGGGUGUGAAAGACCGGGGCUUAACCCCGGUUCUGCAUUCGAUACGGGCUAGCUAGAGUGUGGUAGGGGAGAUCGGAAUUCCUGGUGUAGCGGUGAAAUGCGCAGAUAUCAGGAGGAACACCGGUGGCGAAGGCGGAUCUCUGGGCCAUUACUGACGCUGAGGAGCGAAAGCGUGGGGAGCGAACAGG